GAGGAGUUCGCAGAGGUGACGGUGGGCGACUCCCAAUCGCACCAAACCGCCCUCCUCCGGGGGCGGGCGUUCCGGCUUCAGCCGCUCCUCC
RNAcentral lists this transfer RNA (91 nucleotides) under Limnoglobus roseus. Its description in RNAcentral is "tRNA-Gly". Lineage: Bacteria; Pseudomonadati; Planctomycetota; Planctomycetia; Gemmatales; Gemmataceae. The record is from RNAcentral.